UCAGGUAGGAAUACCCGCUGAACUUAAGCAUAUCAAAACCCGGAGGAA
RNAcentral lists this ribosomal RNA (48 nucleotides) under Diaporthe amygdali. RNAcentral's name for it is "partial 28S ribosomal RNA". Lineage: Eukaryota; Fungi; Ascomycota; Sordariomycetes; Diaporthales; Diaporthaceae. The record is from RNAcentral.